UACGUAGGUGGCAAGCGUUAUCCGGAUUUAUUGGGCGUAAAGGGAACGCAGGCGGUCUUUUAAGUCUGAUGUGAAAGCCUUCGGCUUAACCGGAGUAGUGCAUUGGAAACUGGGAGACUUGAGUGCAGAAGAGGAGAGUGGAACUCCAUGUGUAGCGGUGAAAUGCGUAGAUAUAUGGAAGAACACCAGUGGCGAAGGCGGCUCUCUGGACUGUAACUAACACUGAGGCACGAAAGCGUGGGGAGCAAACAGG
RNAcentral lists this ribosomal RNA (253 nucleotides) under uncultured bacterium. RNAcentral describes it as "partial 16S ribosomal RNA". It matches the Rfam family "Bacterial small subunit ribosomal RNA", at positions 524 to 776 of the family's 1533-position model. The record is from RNAcentral.